This 1450-nucleotide small RNA is filed under the name Pongo abelii (Sumatran orangutan). RNAcentral describes it as "retained intron". The record is from RNAcentral. Lineage: Eukaryota; Metazoa; Chordata; Mammalia; Primates; Hominidae.
UCGCCUGCACCGCCGCCGCGCCCCAUUGGGCCGGGUGCUGGGGCAUCCCGGGCGCUGGGUGCCCCGGCCACGACGAGCCCCAGGUGGGGCCGGGCUCCAGGCCCGCGGAGGAGCGGAGCCGUGCGCGGCAGACGGACUCCGUGACUCCGGGUGGGGAACGCCGGGCUGGCGCCGGGACUUCCGCCACGGGACCCGGAAGGGGCCGCGCCACCGCUGCUGGGAGUUGUAGUCCGGCCGUGGUUGGGGGAGCCGCGGCUCAUGCGCGGUGCACAGAGGCUUGUUUCACAUCUGUAACAACAGGAGGAGGCCCAGCCUCGUGAUGAGGAAUAGCAAGGAGAGAAUUCAGCUCCAGUUCAAAAGCCUACAAAAUCUGAGACUGUCAUUGCUUUUAUAAGGAUUCCAGCUUUCCCUCCUGGCCAGAAAUGUUCAGCCUGGACUCAUUCAGAAAAGCAUCCCUGGAUGUGAAUGAGGACCCUCCUUAAACAGGAAUGGAGAGGUUGAGCUGGUCAUUUCCAACCUUAGCUUCAAGGCAGAACUGGAAUUAGUUUCAAAAUAAACCUUGAUCCUAGGCACUUAGUUCUAGAAGAUCCUACAAGCACGUCUGCUGUAACCCUAUGUAUGUUUUCUGUAAAAUCACAUACCUAUAAAAUAAAAAGAAAAAAAUCACACAUCUAUAAUAUUAUAAGAGAGCUUAUGGGAAAAAUAGAAUUGGGCCAAUGCAACUGCAGCUUUGUGACCAAAAUAUGACAAAAACAAUUAUUGGUGCUUGGGAAGAUGCUUUGGACCACCUAGACAGGCAGCUCAGGGUGAUGUGAUGCUGCAAAUGUACAAAGAGCCGUCUUCUUUUUUUUUUUGAGACGGAGUCUUGUUCUGUGGCCAGGCUGGAAUGCAAUGGCACGAUCUCAGCUCACUGCACCCUCUGCCUCCCGGGUUCAAGUGAUUCUCGUGCCUCAGCCUCCUGAGUAGCUGGGACUACAGGCACACGCCACCACGCCCUGCCAAUUUUUGUAUUUUUAGUAGAGACGGGGUUUCACCAUGUUGGCCAGGAUGGUCUCGAUCUCUUGACCUCGUGAUCCACUGGCCUCAGCCUCCCAAAGUGCUGGGAUUAUAGGCGUGAGCCACCGCGCCGGGCUACAAAGAGCCUUCUAAUGCGAGCAGAGCUGGCAGUUACCGAGGAAGCCCAGGUGGAGGUGGAGUUCUGAAACAGCCACUGUGGUAAAGGAGUGUGUGCAGCUGGGACUGUGGGGGAGGAGGGUUGGAGUGCAGGACUUGCUUCCCCCCCAACAUUUUGUUGUGAAAAAUUUCAAAAAUACUGAAACAUUGAAGAAAUUGUAUAGUGAACACCUUUGUAUCUACCACCUUGAUUCUCUAUAGGUAUAGGCACUCAAUUUUAAUAAAAAAAAAAAUAGCUGAAAGGGCUUUUUCUUUCCUGCUGAAGAUUAUAAUUCUA